This is a non-coding RNA of Podarcis lilfordi (Lilford's wall lizard), 181 nucleotides long. The record is from the annotation of a GenBank genome assembly. NCBI's taxonomy places the organism in Eukaryota, Metazoa, Chordata, Lepidosauria, Squamata, Lacertidae.
AGAUAGUGAGGGUGACUGGCUGCAACAUUGGUUACCCCACUGAUUGCCAGGGUUGAUCUGGCUGACUUGCCAGGAGUCCCCUGACUCCCUCACCACUCAGUGUGCUCCUCCUCUCCCAAAGCAGUGAGCUCAGUGGAAGAGGACGGAUAUCCCAAAUGGAGAGGUAAGGAUUCUGCUGCAU